GCGUUCGUAGCUCAGUUGGUUAGAGCCCUUGACAUGGUGGGGGUCGAUGGUUCGAGUCCAUUCAGACGCACCA
Molecule: transfer RNA, 73 nt
Filed under: Klebsiella pneumoniae
Lineage: Bacteria; Pseudomonadati; Pseudomonadota; Gammaproteobacteria; Enterobacterales; Enterobacteriaceae
Description: tRNA-OTHER
Rfam family: tRNA
About the family: Transfer RNA (tRNA) molecules are approximately 80 nucleotides in length. Their secondary structure includes four short double-helical elements and three loops (D, anti-codon, and T loops).
Source: RNAcentral